Molecule: ribosomal RNA, 409 nt
Filed under: uncultured bacterium
Lineage: Bacteria
Also listed under: 1 other name
Description: bacterial SSU rRNA
Rfam family: Bacterial small subunit ribosomal RNA
Source: RNAcentral
UGGGGAAUAUUGCGCAAUGGGCGGAAGCCUGACGCAGCGACGCCGCGUGGGGGAUGACGGCCUUCGGGUUGUAAACCUCUUUCAGCAGGGACGAAGCGGAAGUGACGGUACCUGCAGAAGAAGCACCGGCCAACUACGUGCCAGCAGCCGCGGUAAUACGUAGGGUGCAAGCGUUGUCCGGAAUUAUUGGGCGUAAAGAGCUCGUAGGCGGUUUGUUGCGUCGGCUGUGAAAUCCCGAGGCUCAACCUCGGGUCUGCAGUCGAUACGAGCAAACUAGAGUGUUGCAGGGGAGACUGGAAUUCCUGGUGUAGCGGUGAAAUGCGCAGAUAUCAGGAGGAACACCGGUGGCGAAGGCGGGUCUCUGGGCAACAACUGACGCUGAGGAGCGAAAGCGUGGGGAGCGAACAGG